GGGUGGCUGGUCCGGCAUUAGCUUCCGGGUGCGGCGCGGGUGUCUACUUCUUAGAGGGACAAGCGGGAGAAGCCGCACGAAAUGGAGCAAUAACAGGUCUGUGAUGCCCUUAGAUGUCCGGGGCCGCACGCGCGCUACAAUGACGGUGGCAAUGAGUCUGACCUUCUGGCCCGAAAGGGUUGGGCAAACUGGUCAAUCACCGUCAUGACAGGGAUCGGGGCUUGGAAUUGUUCCCCGUGAACGAGGAAUUCCUAGUAAGUGCAAGUCAUAAGCUUGCGCUGAUUACGUCCCUGCCCUUUGUACACACCGCCCGUCGCUACUACCGAUUGAAUGGUUUAGUAAGGUCCUUGGAUUGGCCCCAUUGUGGUGGUCACCGAAAGGUGGCUGCCCGACCGGGG
This 398-nucleotide ribosomal RNA is filed under the name Proteocephalus sp. SNV 27.7.05. RNAcentral's name for it is "SSU rRNA". It matches the Rfam family "Eukaryotic small subunit ribosomal RNA", at positions 1361 to 1757 of the family's 1831-position model. The record is from RNAcentral. Lineage: Eukaryota; Metazoa; Platyhelminthes; Cestoda; Proteocephalidea; Proteocephalidae.